This 397-nucleotide ribosomal RNA is filed under the name uncultured bacterium. RNAcentral describes it as "partial 16S ribosomal RNA". It matches the Rfam family "Bacterial small subunit ribosomal RNA", at positions 523 to 918 of the family's 1533-position model. The record is from RNAcentral.
AUACGUAGGGGGCGAGCGUUGUCCGGAAUGAUUGGGCGUAAAGGGCGCGUAGGCGGCGCGGUAAGUCUGGAGUGAAAGUCCUGCUUUCAAGGUGGGAAUUGCUUUGGAUACUGCCGCGCUUGAGUGCAGGAGAGGUUAUCGGAAUUCCCGGUGUAGCGGUGAAAUGCGUAGAGAUCGGGAGGAACACCAGUGGCGAAGGCGGGUAACUGGACUGCAACUGACGCUGAGGCGCGAAAGUGUGGGGAGCAAACAGGAUUAGAUACCCUGGGAGUCCACACUGUAAACGAUGAAUGCUAGGUGUAGGGGGUAUCGACCCCUUCUGUGCCGCAGUCAACACAAUAAGCAUUCCGCCUGGGGAGUACGGCCGCAAGGUUGAAACUCAAAUGAAUUGACGGGG